Molecule: ribosomal RNA, 336 nt
Filed under: marine bacterium SIMO IS-S75-232
Lineage: Bacteria; Pseudomonadati; Pseudomonadota; Alphaproteobacteria; Sphingomonadales; Sphingomonadaceae
Description: bacterial SSU rRNA
Rfam family: Bacterial small subunit ribosomal RNA
Source: RNAcentral
UGAGUGAUGAAGGCCUUAGGGUUGUAAAGCUCUUUUACCAGGGAUGAUAAUGACAGUACCUGGAGAAUAAGCUCCGGCUAACUCCGUGCCAGCAGCCGCGGUAAUACGGAGGGAGCUAGCGUUGUUCGGAAUUACUGGGCGUAAAGCGCGCGUAGGCGGCUUUUCAAGUCAGGGGUGAAAUCCCGGGGCUCAACCCCGGAACUGCCCUUGAAACUGGAUGGCUAGAAUACUGGAGAGGUGAGUGGAAUUCCGAGUGUAGAGGUGAAAUUCGUAGAUAUUCGGAAGAACACCAGUGGCGAAGGCGACUCACUGGACAGUUAUUGACGCUGAGGUGCG